GCGGCCUACGGGGGGCAGCAGUGAGGAAUAUUGGUCAAUGGGCGGGACCCUGAACCAGCCAAGCCGCGUGAGGGAAGAAGGCACCGCGUGUUGUAAACCUCUUUUGUCAGGGAACAAAGCCGGGGACUAGUCCCCGGCUGAGCGUAUCUGAAGAAAAAGCAUCGGCUAGCUCCGUGCCAGCAGCCGCGGUAAUACGGAGGAUGCGAGCGUUAUCUGGAUUUAUUGGGUUUAAAGGGUGCGCAGGCGGCCAGUUAAGUCAGCGGUAAAAGCUCGG
Molecule: ribosomal RNA, 274 nt
Filed under: uncultured bacterium
Lineage: Bacteria
Description: partial 16S ribosomal RNA
Rfam family: Bacterial small subunit ribosomal RNA
Source: RNAcentral